AAGGAGGGACACAUCUGCGAUGUCAUCUACUCUCUCAGCUGGCUGACUGACAGGCUGAUAAACGCCGUCAAGUCGGCUGUCUGCUAAUUUGAUUUAUAAUUUAUUGCGUGUUUGUACAAGCAUGGGAGA
Molecule: non-coding RNA, 129 nt
Organism: Caenorhabditis elegans
Lineage: Eukaryota; Metazoa; Nematoda; Chromadorea; Rhabditida; Rhabditidae
Source: Ensembl